ACUAUCAUUAACUGAAUCCAUAGGUUAAUGAGGCGAACCGGGGGAACUGAAACAUCUAAGUACCCCGAGGAAAAGAAAUCAACCGAGAUUCCCCCAGUAGCGGCGAGCGAACGGGGAGGAGCCCAGAGCCUGAAUCAGUGUGUGUGUUAGUGGAAGCGUCUGGAAAGGCGCGCGAUACAGGGUGACAGCCCCGUACACAAAAAUGCACAUACUGUGAGCUCGAUGAGUAGGGCGGGACACGUGGUAUCCUGUCUGAAUAUGGGGGGACCAUCCUCCAAGGCUAAAUACUCCUGACUGACCGAUAGUGAACCAGUACCGUGAGGGAAAGGCGAAAAGAACCCCGGCGAGGGGAGUGAAAAAGAACCUGAAACCGUGUACGUACAAGCAGUGGGAGCCUCUUUAUGGGGUGACUGCGUACCUUUUGUAUAAUGGGUCAGCGACUUAUAUUCUGUAGCAAGGUUAACCGAAUAGGGGAGCCGAAGGGAAACCGAGUCUUAACUGGGCGUUAAGUUGCAGGGUAUAGACCCGAAACCCGGUGAUCUAGCCAUGGGCAGGUUGAAGGUUGGGUAACACUAACUGGAGGACCGAACCGACUAAUGUUGAAAAAUUAGCGGAUGACUUGUGGCUGGGGGUGAAAGGCCAAUCAAACCGGGAGAUAGCUGGUUCUCCCCGAAAGCUAUUUAGGUAGCGCCUCGUGAAUUCAUCUCCGGGGGUAGAGCACUGUUUCGGCAAGGGGGUCAUCCCGACUUACCAACCCGAUGCAAACUGCGAAUACCGGAGAAUGUUAUCACGGGAGACACACGGCGGGUGCUAACGUCCGUCGUGAAGAGGGAAACAACCCAGACCGCCAGCUAAGGUCCCAAAGUCAUGGUUAAGUGGGAAACGAUGUGGGAAGGCCCAGACAGCCAGGAUGUUGGCUUAGAAGCAGCCAUCAUUUAAAGAAAGCGUAAUAGCUCACUGGUCGAGUCGGCCUGCGCGGAAGAUGUAACGGGGCUAAACCAUGCACCGAAGCUGCGGCAGCGACACUAUGUGUUGUUGGGUAGGGGAGCGUUCUGUAAGCCUGCGAAGGUGUACUGUGAGGUAUGCUGGAGGUAUCAGAAGUGCGAAUGCUGACAUAAGUAACGAUAAAGCGGGUGAAAAGCCCGCUCGCCGGAAGACCAAGGGUUCCUGUCCAACGUUAAUCGGGGCAGGGUGAGUCGACCCCUAAGGCGAGGCCGAAAGGCGUAGUCGAUGGGAAACAGGUUAAUAUUCCUGUACUUGGUGUUACUGCGAAGGGGGGACGGAGAAGGCUAUGUUGGCCGGGCGACGGUUGUCCCGGUUUAAGCGUGUAGGCUGGUUUUCCAGGCAAAUCCGGAAAAUCAAGGCUGAGGCGUGAUGACGAGGCACUACGGUGCUGAAGCAACAAAUGCCCUGCUUCCAGGAAAAGCCUCUAAGCAUCAGGUAACAUCAAAUCGUACCCCAAACCGACACAGGUGGUCAGGUAGAGAAUACCAAGGCGCUUGAGAGAACUCGGGUGAAGGAACUAGGCAAAAUGGUGCCGUAACUUCGGGAGAAGGCACGCUGAUAUGUAGGUGAAGCGACUUGCUCGUGGAGCUGAAAUCAGUCGAAGAUACCAGCUGGCUGCAACUGUUUAUUAAAAACACAGCACUGUGCAAACACGAAAGUGGACGUAUACGGUGUGACGCCUGCCCGGUGCCGGAAGGUUAAUUGAUGGGGUUAGCGGUAACGCGAAGCUCUUGAUCGAAGCCCCGGUAAACGGCGGCCGUAACUAUAACGGUCCUAAGGUAGCGAAAUUCCUUGUCGGGUAAGUUCCGACCUGCACGAAUGGCGUAAUGAUGGCCAGGCUGUCUCCACCCGAGACUCAGUGAAAUUGAACUCGCUGUGAAGAUGCAGUGUACCCGCGGCAAGACGGAAAGACCCCGUGAACCUUUACUAUAGCUUGACACUGAACAUUGAGCCUUGAUGUGUAGGAUAGGUGGGAGGCUUUGAAGUGUGGACGCCAGUCUGCAUGGAGCCGGCCUUGAAAUACCACCCUUUAAUGUUUGAUGUUCUAACGUUGGCCCCUGACCGGGGUUGCGGACAGUGUCUGGUGGGUAGUUUGACUGGGGCGGUCUCCUCCUAAAGAGUAACGGAGGAGCACGAAGGUUGGCUAAUCCUGGUCGGACAUCAGGAGGUUAGUGCAAUGGCAUAAGCCAGCUUGACUGCGAGCGUGACGGCGCGAGCAGGUGCGAAAGCAGGUCAUAGUGAUCCGGUGGUUCUGAAUGGAAGGGCCAUCGCUCAACGGAUAAAAGGUACUCCGGGGAUAACAGGCUGAUACCGCCCAAGAGUUCAUAUCGACGGCGGUGUUUGGCACCUCGAUGUCGGCUCAUCACAUCCUGGGGCUGAAGUAGGUCCCAAGGGUAUGGCUGUUCGCCAUUUAAAGUGGUACGCGAGCUGGGUUUAGAACGUCGUGAGACAGUUCGGUCCCUAUCUGCCGUGGGCGCUGGAGAACUGAGGGGGGCUGCUCCUAGUACGAGAGGACCGGAGUGGACGCAUCACUGGUGUUCGGGUUGUCAUGCCAAUGGCACUGCCCGGUAGCUAAAUGCGGAAGAGAUAAGUGCUGAAAGCAUCUAAGCACGAAACUUGCCCCGAGAUGAGUUCUCCCUGACUCCUUGA
RNAcentral lists this ribosomal RNA (2655 nucleotides) under Escherichia coli. RNAcentral describes it as "bacterial LSU rRNA". It matches the Rfam family "Bacterial large subunit ribosomal RNA". The record is from RNAcentral. Lineage: Bacteria; Pseudomonadati; Pseudomonadota; Gammaproteobacteria; Enterobacterales; Enterobacteriaceae.